This 464-nucleotide ribosomal RNA is filed under the name uncultured bacterium. RNAcentral describes it as "partial 16S ribosomal RNA". It matches the Rfam family "Bacterial small subunit ribosomal RNA", at positions 339 to 795 of the family's 1533-position model. The record is from RNAcentral.
CUACGGGCGGCAGCAGUGGGGAAUUUUGGACAAUGGGGGCAACCCUGAUCCAGCCAUUCCGCGUGUGCGAUGAAGGCCUUCGGGUUGUAAAGCACUUUUGGCAGGAAAGAAAUCGCACGGAUUAAUACUCUGUGUGGAUGACGGUACCUGCAGAAUAAGCACCGGCUAACUACGUGCCAGCAGCCGCGGUAAUACGUAGGGUGCAAGCGUUAAUCGGAAUUACUGGGCGUAAAGCGUGCGCAGGCGGUUCGGAAAGAAAGGUGUGAAAUCCCAGGGCUUAACCUUGGAACUGCACUUUUAACUACCGAGCUAGAGUAUGUCAGAGGGGGGUGGAAUUCCGCGUGUAGCAGUGAAAUGCGUAGAUAUGCGGAGGAACACCGAUGGCGAAGGCAGCCCCCUGGGAUAAUACUGACGCUCAUGCACGAAAGCGUGGGGAGCAAACAGGAUUAGAUACCCGAGUAGUC